Molecule: ribosomal RNA, 463 nt
Filed under: uncultured bacterium
Lineage: Bacteria
Description: partial 16S ribosomal RNA
Rfam family: Bacterial small subunit ribosomal RNA
Source: RNAcentral
GACGAACGCUGGCGGCGUGCUUAACACAUGCAAGUCGAACGGUGAACCUCUUCGGGGGGGAUCAGUGGCGAACGGGUGCGUAACACGUGGGCAACCUGCCCCCGGCUCUGGGAUAACUCCAAGAAAUUGGGGCUAAUACCGGAUGUUCACCGCUUCCCGCAUGGGUGGUGGUGGAAAGGGUUUCCGGCUGGGGAUGGGCCCGCGGCCUAUCAGCUUGUUGGUGGGGUAGUGGCCUACCAAGGCGACGACGGGUAGCCGGCCUGAGAGGGUGACCGGCCACACUGGGACUGAGACACGGCCCAGACUCCUACGGGAGGCAGCAGUGGGGAAUAUUGCGCAAUGGGCGGAAGCCUGACGCAGCGACGCCGCGUGGGGGAUGACGGCCUUCGGGUUGUAACCCUCUUUCAGCAGGGACGAAGCGCAAGUGACGGUACCUGCAGAAGAAGCACCGGCCAACUACGUG